RNAcentral lists this ribosomal RNA (440 nucleotides) under uncultured bacterium. RNAcentral's name for it is "partial 16S ribosomal RNA". It matches the Rfam family "Bacterial small subunit ribosomal RNA", at positions 338 to 795 of the family's 1533-position model. The record is from RNAcentral.
CCUACGGGUGGCAGCAGUGGGGAAUAUUGCACAAUGGGGGAAACCCUGAUGCAGCGACGCCGCGUGGGCGAGGAAGUACCUCGGUAUGUAAAGCCCUAUCAGCAGGGAAGAAACAGGACAGUACCUGACUAAGACGCCCCGGCUAACUACGUGCCAGCAGCCGCGGUAAUACGUAGGGGGCAAGCGUUAUCCGGAUUCACUGGGCGUAAAGGGAGCGCAGGCGGCAUGGCAAGUCGGCUGUGAAAACCCGGGGCCCAACCCCGGGAGUGCAUUGGAAACUGCCAGGCUGGAGGGUCGGAGGGGUAAGCGGAAUUCCUAGUGUAGCGGUGAAAUGCGUAGAUAUUAGGAGGAACACCAGUGGCGAAGGCGGCUGACUGGACGACUACUGACGCUGAGGCUCGAAAGCGUGGGGAGCAAACAGGAUUAGAUACCCUGUAGUC